CCAUUUCCUCUUCUCGUCUCUCUCACCGUCCACCUCAGCCGCCGCCGUAAAUCGCCCAUGGCGGCGGCCCGUCACCAAAUCUACUCAAUGUACGACUCUACACUACCCUCUUCUUCCUCAUUCCUAAUCUUUUAACCUUUGCCUUUGAAACUCACUAGAAAUCGUCCAAUAGUAUAUCUAAAAUUCAAAAAAAAAAAACCCUAAUCUGUUUUUUAUUGAUUCCUUCUCAAAGACAACUCGUUCUGACUCGAAACCUACGUUGAUCGAUUGCUAUUGUCAAGAUCAAUCGAUUGAUGUUGGUUUUGGUUCAUUCCGAGAUCACUGGAAUCCGGUCAAGUCGCCGUUGACCGGCCGGAAGCUUAAUGUUCCUAUGUCCUAGAAGCCGUUUGUCUUAAUAGCACCAUCCCAGCCUAACUUUUAUUGGUGGAGAUGACAUAUUCAUGGACCGGUACAAUAGAGAAUCACAGGUAGCUCUAUUUUCAAUUAGACAUGGAGCAAGUGUGGAUGCUGAGAACAAGGAUGCAUAGUGCCUGAACAAGCUUUAGAUGAAGCCACCAUUAUUGAUUCUGGUAAAUCAGUGCCACCACUUGGUGUCAUUAGCCAAUCAAUAUAUUCAAGCCGAACUAUGUAAUGAUUGAUGUGAGGGUCCAGCUGCGCCAUUGGAGUUUUCAAGGAGGUGGGUAACAGUUCUCAGCGUCUCUUUUGUUCUUUUGUGUCGCAUAACUCAAGUGAUGUUUGUUCUUAUAUCUCACAGAAUUCAAGUGAGAGUUAGCAAUUUCUUCAACAAUUCUAAACAGAGGAGUUGCUCUUAGAGUUAGGGAGCGAGUGGAAUAAACGAGUUCACUACGCUGGAUAAGAAGUAUAGUAUACGAAGCGAUCACUUGAGCAAAGGAGUGUAAUAGGCAGAAAGGACUACUAGAGCUAUAUGCUUUAAGAAUGAGUGGAGUACCUGAAACAAGAGAGGGUAGGUAGAGCACUUUCCCCUUUUAAGAUUUGCUUUCUCGAUCCUCUACUAUCUUACUAACGGGAAAGGUCGCAAAGACUGAAGCUGCCACACCAAUAUCUAUCUAAGAAAGCAGUAAUAGAGCACGCAACGAUGAAAACAAGAGGAGCAUCCAGUCGAAUCAAUUAUAUCAUUUUUAGGAGCAGAAGAUACUCAGUUUUUUAUGUGAAAUCAAGGGGCAGCAGGUUACACUCUACACUUUCCGGAAGAGAGCUCAAAGCAAUAAGAUGAAAGAUGAGAUGAGAUGCUAGCCUUAGCACAGAAAAUAAAUCAUUGAACCUUAGGCCACUACCGAGCAGCAAUGGGCGAUCAUAACUGCCUGUACUGCCAAGAUGAUCCCUCCUUGAAAAGGCGGAGACAAAUUGUUGCGACAAAUGGAGUUUCAAAAGCCUUGUAUCAAUUAUAACCUAAUUUCGGCAUAAAUACUGGGCCAAGUUAUUUAGCGUAGUGGGAAGGAGAAGGUAGGAAUCCCCUUAUAGGAACAAUAAUAUCUUUUUUUCAUUCCCAAGGUAGACUUUUAACUCGUACAUUUUAUGCUUCCUCAUCACUGUUUGGAAGGAGUACUUGCCGAGCUGAGAAGUAAAAGCUCUCGUUACUAUAAUAACUCAAGUGAUAUUUUUUCUUAUAUCUCACAAAAUUCAAGUGCUGUCAAUUUGUUUCUCAGCUGUUCUUAGUAUUUUUUGUGAAGUAUGGACUUUGAGAUGGAAAGUAAAGAACUAGAAAUGAGUUAAUAAUGUCAUGCUUCUUUGCUGGCAAAAGGGGCUUAUAGAGGUUUGGUUAGAAAUAAAAAGUGAAUGCCUUUGGAAACAACUAAUUAUAGGAGCCAUAAAAGUAGUAUGUCAACACAUGACCUUUACAUUAACAAGUUUGUACAGUAUAUUAUACAGAAAUCUAGCAAAAGCAACUUUGAAUUAAGUGAAUCGAAGGUAUUUACAUUUUUUGUAAUCAUAUCUCUGGUAGAAAUUUUACUUUCCGGCUAAACCUUUUCCAAUCAUGAUAAUCUUUUUUCUCUUUCUAUAUCACUAAUGACAUACCAUUACUAUAUAAAUACUAUGAAAGAGUAUUCUUGUUAGAAACUUUAACUCAUUUUCAGUUUAUGGAGGGCUUUUUCAUAUUUGCUGAGCUUUAUAUGUGAAGUUAACAUAAACUUCUAUUUCAGAAAGCGAGCGAGGUAACUUUGUGCUGCUGCUUCUGCUCGACCUUUGUCACUAUUUCCCUGACUGUCCUUUGUUUGCACAUAAACGUGGACGAGGAGUCAUUGUUUCCGAGAAAAAUGUGAGAAUGAUAUCUCUCGUGUAAUGACUCACCGUGGGCAUUCACUUAUCUAACAAAAUGAAAUGUGAAUCCAUUAAUUUCAAGCACAUUUGUACAAAAUCAAAGUGAUUGUUAUAAUUUCAAGCACAUCUCUCUCUCUCUCUCUCUCUGCAAUUAAUGCUCCUGUAGGUUCUUUAUAUAUGUUUUAUGGGUUGCGCUAUGUGCGAUUCUUUAGAACACUGCGUGUGGUGAUAUAUACACAUUCAAAGUGAUUCUUAAAUCAUGGAUUAUAUUAUUUCUGAUGUAGAGUCGAGUCCAAUCCGUUUUUAAACUCCUUAUAUUCUUGAUCUAUGAGUUACCAGAGAGUGCCUUCUGAUGGUUAUUCCAGGUAUCUAUCUUAUCCUUUAUUUCAUUCAAAGUCCAUGUCAGUUAUUCCGCUGGAGGAAACAUGUAGGAAGAAAGUUGUUACUCACAGAAUGACACUGUUGUGUCCAGUAGCUCCUUUUUCUCUUUCUCAGAUGUAUUUUUUGCUUAUCAAUGACCUAAUUAUUUCAGCUGCUCUUGAGCCUACACUUUGUAUUUGCAUUGGCACGGUUGAGCUUGAUGCAUGUUUUUGGCAUUCAAAAUGGGUUGAUAAUUGAGCUCUCUUGUUUAAAGUUUAUAACGUAUUUCAAUUGAAACAGUCAAAAGGGUUGACAAGAUUAGUGGUGACAGAAUUGACUUGAGCAGGAAAGAGGACGAGUUACAAAACUCACAUCUAUAGUAGGUUUCGCCAUGAAAUGGAAGCAAAUGAAAAGGAGAUAUGGGGAUGGUUUCUGCUGCUGGAGAAUGAGUAUUUUUCUUCCAUGCCUACACCUGGAAAGCUGAUUGGCUGCCUUUUGAAAAUCUGGAAUAGGCUAUAAUAUGGAAUUACAAUUGAACCAUAUUUACUGGUUUAUUCUUUUUUUUUCUUUCAAAUUAAUUGGUUUAUUUAUUUUUAUUUUAUUUCUAAUGAUAGACUUGCGAAGCUAUUUAAAUCC
Long non-coding RNA from Nicotiana attenuata, 3276 nucleotides. RefSeq lists it as uncharacterized. The transcript has 5 exons. Lineage: Eukaryota; Viridiplantae; Streptophyta; Magnoliopsida; Solanales; Solanaceae. The record is from RefSeq and is a predicted model, not a curated record.